This 253-nucleotide ribosomal RNA is filed under the name uncultured bacterium. RNAcentral's name for it is "partial 16S ribosomal RNA". It matches the Rfam family "Bacterial small subunit ribosomal RNA", at positions 524 to 776 of the family's 1533-position model. The record is from RNAcentral.
UACAGAGGUCUCAAGCGUUGUUCGGAUUCAUUGGGCGUAAAGGGUGCGUAGGUGGCGGGGUGAGUCUGGUGUGAAAUCUCGGGGCUCAACCCCGAAACUGCACUGGAUACUGCCUUGCUCGAGUACUGGAGAGGAGAUUGGAAUUUACGGUGUAGCAGUGAAAUGCGUAGAUAUCGUAAGGAAGACCAGUGGCGAAGGCGAAUCUCUGGACAGUUACUGACACUGAGGCACGAAGGCCAGGGGAGCAAACGGG